This 500-nucleotide ribosomal RNA is filed under the name uncultured microorganism. Its description in RNAcentral is "bacterial SSU rRNA". It matches the Rfam family "Archaeal small subunit ribosomal RNA", at positions 234 to 734 of the family's 1478-position model. The record is from RNAcentral.
AGUGGGUGUAACGUACCUACUAGCCUACGACGGGUACGGGUUGUGAGAGCAAGAGCCCGGAGAUGGAUUCUGAGACACGAAUCCAGGCCCUACGGGGUGCAGCAGGCGCGAAAACUUUACAAUGCGGGAAACCGUGAUAAGGGAAUCUCGAGUGCCAGCAUAUAAUGUUGGCUGUCCAGAUGCCUAAAAAGCAUCUGUUAGCAAGGGCCGGGCAAGACCGGUGCCAGCCGCCGCGGUAACACCGGCGGCCCGAGUGGUAACCGUUAUUAUUGGGUCUAAAGGGUCUGUAGCCGGCCGGAUAAGUCUCUUGGGAAAUCUGGCAGCUCAACUGUCAGGCUAUCAGGAGAUACUGUCUGGCUCGAGGCCGGGAGAGGUGAGAGGUACUUCAGGGGUAGGGGUGAAAUCUUGUAAUCCUUGAAGGACCACCAGUGGCGAAGGCGUCUCACCAGAACGGACCUGACGGCAAGGGACGAAAGCUAGGGGCACGAACCGGAUUAGAU